This is a long non-coding RNA of Girardinichthys multiradiatus, 465 nucleotides long. RefSeq lists it as uncharacterized. The record is from RefSeq and is a predicted model, not a curated record. The transcript has 2 exons. Lineage: Eukaryota; Metazoa; Chordata; Actinopteri; Cyprinodontiformes; Goodeidae.
GGUUGGUCACCAGUUUCAUGGUGGACUCCAGCUUCUCUUGCAGGUUCCUUAUUUCAUUCUGUUCUCCGUCUGCAUCACUGCUCACCAGGGACAUGGCCCGCAUUCGAGGAAACCAGUCCAAGUUGUGUUCCUGAGGUAUUUUAAUUCCUGCUGCUGUGGCCACCCAACGCAUGCAGUAAGGGAGGAACUGGUGACAUAACCGCACCCAUCAGAGCCAUCUCUGAUGGCAAGCAACUGAAUCAACAGCACAUCCCGUUCUACACGGAGCUUGGAACGCUGGUCUCCUGGCAACGACACGGCCAGCGUUGGGCCGAGAAGAGAGCCAGCAUGCUCAGCGGCACAGCAGCCACAAGGAGUGCAAGAUCAGUGGUGUGAAUUAAAUCCUAUAUUUUCUCUAUUCCUAAGCAUUGCAGUCAAAAACGGGCAUGCCUGAGAAUAUGUAAUAAAAAAGAGCAGGUACCAUGA